GAUGAACGCUGGCGGCGUGCCUAAUACAUGCAAGUCGAGCGAACGGACGAGAAGCUUGCUUCUCUGAUGUUAGCGGCGGACGGGGGAGUAACACGUGGAUAACCUACCUAUAAGACUGGGAUAACUUCGGGAAACCGGAGCUAAUACCGGAUAAUAUUUUGAACCGCAUGGUUCAAAAGUGAAAGACGGUCUUGCUGUCACUUAUAGAUGGAUCCGCGCUGCAUUAGCUAGUUGGUAAGGUAACGGCUUACCAAGGCAACGAUGCAUAGCCGACCUGAGAGGGUGGUAGGCCACACUGGAACUGAGACACGGUCCAGACUCCUACGGGAGGCAGCAGUAGGGAAUCUUCCGCAAUGGGCGAAAGCCUGACGGUGCAACGCCGCGUGAGUGAUGAAGGUCUUCGGAUCGUAAAAAUCUGUUAUUAGGGAAGAACAUAUGUGUAAGUAACUGUGCACAUCUUGACGGUACCUAAUCAGAAAGCCACGGCUAACUACGUG
Molecule: ribosomal RNA, 497 nt
Filed under: uncultured bacterium
Lineage: Bacteria
Description: partial 16S ribosomal RNA
Rfam family: Bacterial small subunit ribosomal RNA
Source: RNAcentral